UCCACCUACGGGGCGCAGCAGUGAGGAAUAUUGGUCAAUGGGGGAAACCCUGAUGCAGCGAUGCCGCGUGAGUGAAGAAGUAUUUCGGUAUGUAAAGCUCUAUCAGCAGGGAAGAAAAAAGACGGUACCUGACUAAGAAGCCCCGGCUAACUACGUGCCAGCAGCCGCGGUAAUACGUAGGGGGCAAGCGUUAUCCGGAUUUACUGGGUGUAAAGGGAGCGUAGACGGCGCGGCAAGUCUGAAGUGAAAGGCAGGGGCUUAACCCCUGAACUGCUUUGGAAACUGCCAUGCUAGAGUGCUGGAGG
Molecule: ribosomal RNA, 305 nt
Filed under: uncultured bacterium
Lineage: Bacteria
Description: bacterial SSU rRNA
Rfam family: Bacterial small subunit ribosomal RNA
Source: RNAcentral